Molecule: ribosomal RNA, 460 nt
Filed under: uncultured bacterium
Lineage: Bacteria
Description: partial 16S ribosomal RNA
Rfam family: Bacterial small subunit ribosomal RNA
Source: RNAcentral
CCUACGGGAGGCAGCAGUGAGGAAUAUUGGUCAAUGGACGCAAGUCUGAACCAGCCAUGCCGCGUGCAGGAAGACGGCUCUAUGAGUUGUAAACUUCUUUUGUACGAGGGUAAAUCCCGAUACGUGUAUCGUGUUGACAGUAUCGUACGAAUAAGGAUCGGCUAACUCCGUGCCAGCAGCCGCGGUAAUACGGAGGAUUCAAGCGUUAUCCGGAUUUAUUGGGUUUAAAGGGUGCGUAGGCGGUUCGAUAAGUUAGAUGUGAAAUCCCGGGGCUCAACUCCGGCACUGCCUUUGAUACUGUCGGGCUAGAGUUUAGUUGCGGUAGGUGGAAUGUAUGGUGUAGCGGUGAAAUGCAUAGAGAUCAUACAGAACACCGAUUGCGAAGGCAGCUUACCAAACUACGACUGACGUUGAGGCACGAAAGCGUGGGGAGCAAACAGGAUUAGAUACCCUAGUAGUC